UGGAGUCUGCAACCCGACUCCAUGAAGCUGGAUUCGCUAGUAAUCGCGCAUCAGCCACGGCGCGGUGAAUACGUUCCCGGGCCUUGUACACACCGCCCGUCAAGCCAUGGAAGCCGGGAGUGCCUGAAGUGCGUGACCGCAAGGAGCGUCCUAAGGCAAUACCGGUGACUGGGGCUAAGUCGUAACAAGGUAAC
This 194-nucleotide ribosomal RNA is filed under the name uncultured bacterium. RNAcentral's name for it is "partial 16S ribosomal RNA". It matches the Rfam family "Bacterial small subunit ribosomal RNA", at positions 1299 to 1500 of the family's 1533-position model. The record is from RNAcentral.